UACGUAGGUGACGAGCGUUAUCCGGAAUUAUUGGACGUAAAGCGCCCGCAGGCGGCUGUUCAAGUCUGACGUGAAAUCGCUCGGCUUAACUGGGCGGGGUCGUUGGAAACUGAAUAGCUUGAGGCAAGGAGAGGGGCGUGGAAUUCCCGGUGUAGUGGUGGAAUGCGUAGAUAUCGGGAGGAACAUCAGUGGCGCAAGCGGCGCCCUGGCCUUAGCCUGACGCUCAGGGGCGAAAGCGUGGGGAGCGAACGGG
This 253-nucleotide ribosomal RNA is filed under the name uncultured bacterium. Its description in RNAcentral is "partial 16S ribosomal RNA". It matches the Rfam family "Bacterial small subunit ribosomal RNA", at positions 524 to 776 of the family's 1533-position model. The record is from RNAcentral.